UGUUCUACUUUAUACAUUGUCACCUAAUGUUUCUGCGUACGUGAGAAAGUUGCACCUCCUGCAUGUACAGGGGUGGUCAAAAGUUCCCAGGUCACUAUCCCAUGUAUAUUUAUGAAAGCAUGGCCUGGGAACUUUUGACCAGGACUGUAUCUCGAAUGCUCAGUGCAUGUGCAUAGAUAUGCAGUGCUGAUUGCGUACAGGCAUCACUUUUCUAUGGCAGUGCAAAACGUGCACUGUACUAGAGUACUUUGGGUAAGUGUGCGUUUGAAAAAGUUCACCCUGUAGCUUUUCCUUCAUUGCAAGGAAUAGUUGCCUGCGAGUAUAAGAGCUCUGAUUUCUUAUUUAGCUCAAACUUUCAAGACCAAAGAUGUGAAAAAUUUCGACCAUACGAGCACUGACUUCCAACUGGAAUUUUCGUCGGGGUACUGCAUUUGUAAGGGUAACAAUGCACCUGCGCCACGCCACCUUCACAAAUCCCAAAACCCUAAAGUGAUAACCGGCAAGCUUACAUAGUGAAACCCACCGGUUACAUUCAAAACUGAAAACUCCGCAGAGAAUUAUUCAUCUGUUGCUAUCCCACGCUACACUUACAGGGCAAUAGACAGCAGACUGAUACACUGUUGAUCAACCGAGGCUAUUUCUGCUGCGUUUAUCAUUUCCCCCAUUCUUCGGUCAGUAGGAGUGUAGAGUACUGCACACCUUUCAAAUUCAGGCAUACAUCCACAGCUUUGGCAAUGCUUCAUAUCUCGUGAGCUCGCUAGUUAUCACUUCGGAUCUUUGCGAUUUGCAGAGUGGAGCAGGUGCACGAUUAUUGUUAUAAAUAUGCGUCCAAACCAUUAAAAUUCAGUUGUAAGUUGGCGCUUACGUGUUUCGCAACGUUUUGUGUCCCUGCUCUUGGAAGCACGAGGAAUAUUGAUGUGGCUGCAGGAGAGCUCUGGUAAGCGUGACACUGUCACUGCCGUAAAGCAUCACACGUGCAUAGGACAACAUUGACGCAUCACGCCUAAUUACCAUGAAUGCGGACUUUUGUAAACGCUGGCUUUGCAGACACUGAAAACAAAGAAGCGGGCGAACAAAUGUCGUGGGUCACCAGCUUCAAAUUUUUACAAGUAGUAUUUUGGACAUGGUCAGUUGUGACAUGCUCAAAUAUUGAAGUACGUGACAAAUUAUGCCAGAAAUGAAAAAUCUCGCCUGUUUUUCGUGUGCCAUUUGAGCUCUCUGUCUUUUAGAAUAGUCGCCAAGUUUAUUUAUCUGUUUCUGGUGUCUAUGUUAGUUUCGUGAUUACGUCAAUGAUUGGGACCAUCUGUUAACCAAGUGUACAUCUUUCCAAAUAACUAUUUUUAACGUGUUUAUGAGGUGACGUUAAAUGUGACGCUCUGCAGCAGCUUUAGGAGUUUCUUUCACGUUACGACUGAUACAACGGCUCCUGCUCAUUUUUACCGAUCGUGCAAGAACUGAGCACAAUCUUUGUGGUCAUGCCAGAUCCAGUCCUUGCAAUGUGUGCUGCGGAAGCCUGUCAUUUUUAUUCCUUGCCAAAUGAGAAUACUGCACUUUUCACAAUGUUCAACCACAGCACCAUCAUUGCACGAAGGUUCACUUAGCGUGUGUUCAGCUUUUCACUUGCGCUGAGAACUGACAUUGUACGCGUAUCUGUGAUAAGAAAUGAGGCAGGCAAUUUCUCGCUGAACACAUGUACUGCCAUUACUCAUAGUUUUCCCUACGAGUUCUUGGGUUGUGCCAUGUUCCACACAACUGCUAGCUUUUGUAAUAUUUAUUCCUGAAGCUGGAGCCUCCAAUUAUCAUGGGAGUGAUAGUCACACGAGUGAUAAUCACGCGAGUGAUGACUGCACAGCAUGUUUAUAAUGGCAAGGCGGUGAUUUCAGCGACAGUUUGUGUAAGCCUGUAAAAGCACCCCUCACUGCUAGCACUGUCGGCAAUGCUGCUCUCCUUGGGAGCACAUGUACCCUGCCAGCGUUAUCAAGGCACUUCUCAUCACUAGGAAAAAAAUAUAUAUAUUCGGAAUAAUCGAGGUUGAAUGAAUACAAGGUUCCUAUUAGUAUACCGUAAUACUGCUUAGCCAGUGGUAACCAGCAUUGGCAAACAUUUAGUUGAUGUUGAUGCUUGCAAUGUGAGCAGGUAUAGUAGUUCAUUUAGAUUGUAAAUAACGAUUACAGCAUGUCACCGUACCCUAUUAUGAAAAGCUGCUGAAACAGGUACAGCAAGACUCUGUCUUCAAAGUUCCGCACUAACAGGUGUACAACUAAAACAUGUCUGUAACAUGUUUGUCAAGCGUCUAGUAAUACUGGUAAUAAUAAUUGUUUGGGUUUUACGCCCAGAAACUAUGAUAGGAUUAAAAAAGGCAGCAUGAUGAAGGACAGUAUUUUGUCUACCCGAAGUUCAUUAACAUGCACCUAAAUCCAAAUACACAGGCCUCUAGAAUUUCGUUUUCAUAAAAAUGCAUUGUCAUGUGUGUAUACAACUCCAUAUUCACUAUAUAUAGAAAAUUUUGAUUACAAAUGUUUCACGAAGUCUUCCACGUUGCCCUUCCGUGAUUAGACACUCUGACCGGUAAGCUUUCUGUUGUGCUGAAGAAAAUGGGUACCGUGAAAAUUGGUAGGUAGUUGGUUCCUUUAACAGAGCAUAAGCGAUGAUUUUCAGUACCUGUUGUUGCAUGGUGUUGGCUACUCAUUUUUUGUCACUGGUGAAUAUGUCUCGAUAACCUAGGCAGGGCAUGCACAAUAGAAAAGCAAAAGCCUAAGCCAAAUGCGCUCGGGAUGGAGCUGCAUUGUGUGCUCUCUUGCUUUUACAAGGCAUUGACAUGCUAUCUAGGCAAUGCUCACUCAACACCACAAAAGGCAAUAGUAUUUAGGAAGCUGCUCUUCUUCGGGUUUACAUUACGCAUUUGCGUAAUGAUAAGAACUCGGCCUCUUUGUGGAGAUGCAUAGCAUGAGGUUCUCUAUUGAGAUAGGGGUUGCUUUUUGUAAAGCUUUGUUCAUCAGGAACAAAGCGGACUGAAACUACAUGAUCAGGAAAGCGUUAAUAGUUAACUGAAAAUUUCUGUUAAUUCAAACUGACACCCUGGUCCCGGCAUAAUUUGAAUGGUUCAAAGACGUUGCUAUCCACAACAACUAAUUCCAACUGGGAGCCCCCUGGCUUUUACCGUUCCUUGCAGCAGUCGCGCCAGAGUGAGGUCAAUGUGUUGGGAAACUAAACCGAAUUCACUAGAGACGAGAAAUGGUGAAACAGCAGCGUUUCUCGGGAGAUGAGAAUUCAGACACUUUGCUGGAGCUUUUCGGUAAGCUGCAAAUGACGUGCAUGGAGUUCCAACCAAAGAAAAGCAAAUGCAAAUUACUGGUUACAUUUAACAUUGAUGGCAUUUACUCUGUCACGUAAAUUAACAUGUAUUAAGUAUAAAUAGCAUCAUAUUUGACAUUAAAACACACUGCUCACAUAAGUGUAUGUCUGUGCUUGUUUCUGGCAUAUCGCUGACUGAUAGAUUACCCCUAUUUGCUGUUAGAGCUCCACGAACUUAAUUUACGGAGUCACUUUCUAAGAACAUGCAGUAGCUCCUAAUUUGUCAUAACGAGUCUAGAGGUCGCUUCUUUGGCUUCUGCCCACACAGUGUGGCACUAUGUCCAUUCAUUCUGGAGCCCGCUCGCUAAUUUGAACUGCGCUUAGUUCACAGAUUAUCAUAGUACUCCUCGAGUUCCAAUUAAGGAAACUCGAGCCAAAGUGAUUGCGAGCCCGUGAUUCUGGAUAAGCGAACGCGCUCUCUAACCACCAGUGCACAUCCCUUAGCUGCUAAUGUAAUACUGCUAAUAAAAAGUUUAGACAUCGGCAAGCUCCAGUAUCACAUACAUUGAGUCUGUAAUGACAUGUGUAAAAAUGCCGCAUUGUGCAUAGAGAAUGGGCACAGAACUUCUGCUCAUGCGCGCUAUGCUAACCACAAGAUUCUUACACAUGCAGCACCAUUACGGACGCAAAAUACGGAGCACUAAAACUCACGGCUUACUGGCUUAGCAGCUUUAUGAAAGUUUCUUCCAUUCUGUGUGCUACUCCUUCAUAAUCAAUUUAACCAAAGUGAUGUUUUAUUGAAUUUGCCUGUGCAGAUCGUUGAGUAAUUUCUCCUCAUCAUAUUUAAUUCUGUGGUCUUUAUUCUGUGGUUCUGCUUUGCUGUAUCCCUGCAGAGAUUCAGUGGCAGAUAGGAUGUGUGACUAAUUAUGGCAGCUGGGUUACCAACAUUUGGAAAUUCUGAAUCACUACAGUGUGCCCUGAACUGUUAGACGUAGAUGUUUGUAGCGACGUACGUCACUCAUUGUUUGUUUUAUCCUGACACAUUUGAUAGCUGUUCACAGAAUAAGUGCAUCCUGUUUUCAAACAGAUUGUGACACUAGUAGAGGUGCGCGAAUGUCGAUUUCAGAGACAUGAAAAUUAUGGUUUUUCUUUGGCAAUGUUAGUAUUCUAAUGUCCAUAACUGUAGCAUUGAAAUAGCAUAUACAGCAUCGGGAGCAACUAAGCAUAUUCUUUGCUUGCUUCAGAGAGAGUGCAAGAUCGUUGUGUAAGCAUGGCUUCCCUAGCAACAUGGCCUGCUGUAUUGUGUGAGGCGUUAUAGCUUAUGUCUAUGCUAUGCCUGCACGCUUGCUGUGAGGAAGUCAGUUCUACUUUUGCGCAGACUUUGUGUUCAUUUACUUUACAGCAGCUAUUUGACUGUAAGUUGAAAUGGGGUACUAAUUGAUUUGCAAUUCAAAAAUUUCAAAUAUUUGCACACCCCAGGAACCUGGACUUGAUCUCAAUGGGUGCAUGAAUGUUAGGCAGAUGCAUGCGUGCUGACCAUCAGUCGUGUAGUCACUGCCGACAUGAUGGUGUGAAAGUGAUUCUGUAAAUAGAAAGUGCUUAGUGACUACCGUAUCUCUAGCGAAGCAUUUCAUUCUACCAUUCUUUCUGACUGCUUUACUUACAAAGGCAGGCAACACUGCGCAAGCCAUUUGUUCUAUUACUGCGUGUUUUAGUGUUGCUUUUAUUUACUCGGCAAGGGAAACAGUUUUUGUUUACUGUUAUAAUUUGUCAAUGAACCAAAAGAAACUGCAAUUUUAACUCUUUGAUGUGUAUGCAUUUGUGCCAUUCUCUUGUGAUUACAAACUUUGCAGCUAUAAUCACUUUACUUGCAUCUCAGUGCUUGUGAUAAAUUGCCACAGUUUGCUAGGAAAAAUGCUGUAAGGAUUGUAAAUAGUUGGCAAAUUUACUCAGCCAACUUCGUGUGCCAACAGACUGGGCAAUAAAGUGCGAUGCGCAUAUUUCGUGAAUUCAAAGCCUGA
This 5315-nucleotide long non-coding RNA is filed under the name Rhipicephalus microplus (southern cattle tick). RNAcentral describes it as "uncharacterized LOC119163713". The record is from RNAcentral. Lineage: Eukaryota; Metazoa; Arthropoda; Arachnida; Ixodida; Ixodidae.